CAGCCGCCACGGUAAAACGGAGGGGGCUAGCGUUAUUCGGAAUUACUGGGCGUAACGCGCACGUAGGCGGAUCAGAAAGCCAGAGGUGAAAUCCCAGGGCUCAACCUUGGAACUGCCUUUGAAACUCCUGAUCUUGAGGUCGAGAGAGGUGAGUGGAAUUCCGAGUGUAGAGGUGAAAUUCGUAGAUAUUCGGAGGAACACCAGUGGCGAAGGCGGCUCACUGGCUCGAUACUGACGCUGAGGUGCGAAGGCGUGGGGAGCAAACAGGAUUAGAUACCCGCGUAGUCCCUGUCUCUUAUAC
This 301-nucleotide ribosomal RNA is filed under the name uncultured bacterium. RNAcentral describes it as "partial 16S ribosomal RNA". It matches the Rfam family "Bacterial small subunit ribosomal RNA", at positions 509 to 807 of the family's 1533-position model. The record is from RNAcentral.